GCACCUCAAAUUGUCCUUGCAGGCCCACUUUUGAAUGAACCGUACUUAAAGUCGUAAUUAUACAGGACUUUUUUUUAAGGAUAUUCAAAAUUUGUAUUUAUUUUGGUUGGUUUGGUUGGUUUUGGCAAAGUAAAAACACAUGAAAUACUGGAAAAAAUCUAGCUUUGACAAAACACAAUCGUAGACAUUUGACACUUGAUGAUCACAUUUUAAAUAUUCCCAAAAGUGUACUAACUUUACCCAAAAUGUGGGAGCAACUGGAGAGGUAUCGCAAUCACUUUUUGCAAAACGAGAUUAAGGAUGUGCUGAAGCCCAGCUCCAUAAACCGCCAGCAGAACAAGGAGUGGUCGAAAGCCAUGGAGAAAAGGCAUAUUUGUAAGUGCAUGCCGUAUGGCUGCAGUUCGACCUCCACACACCUGCAGGAUAGGGCCCAAUUGGCGUACGGCUGGUUUGCCCUCCCCAAACUGGUGAAGGAACUGGACAGCGAUGUUCCCCUGACCCACUGGAAGGCAGUGGUCUCGUUGACGGAGUUCCUCUCGAACCCGCUGAAUGCCCAGAGAGCGAUCACCGAAAAGGACAUUGUGAGAAAGUUGAAAAAUGCCUUUAUGCGAAUGAGAUUGAAGCUCCACAAGGAGCAAUACCGUGAGGUAGAGAUGUAUCUGAAGAUCUAUAAUAUACUUUCCCGCAACUUGGAUGGAGCCGAGCAUAUUGCCAACCGCAAAUGUUUGAGGAACGAGUUUUACAAAAUUAUUAAAAAUCAGGAGGCCAAUAAAGAUGGUUUGGCAUCAGAGAUUCUCAGAAAUUUGACGGGCAAACCAAAGGUUCUGGGCAUUUUCAUGGAGGAUCCUGAGAACUUUGCCGCCCUGGCGGAGAUCUUCAACCAGGAUCCCUGCCGUCCGCACUAUCCGCUGGACUUGUGGCACCAUCUGUGCCACUUGUUGGAGGUGGCGCCCGAGCAGGCCAUCGCGUUGGGUUUCUUCGAGCUGCUGCACCAGCGGAUCCUCAACCGCCUGGCCGACUUCUGGGACAUGGCCACCAAGGCGUUCGCCCUGCUGCUCCGCUGUGCGGAGGGUCAGCGGCACUUCAAUGCGGUGGAUGGCGUCAAGCUGCUCUACGACAUCUUUGCCCAGCCGGAUGAGGAGAAGCCCAGUAUGCUGUUGCCCCAGCAGAAGGUGCAGAACUGGGAGUACACGGUGCUGGCCCUGCUCAAUGGCCUGCACAGCAAGCGGGCUCUGUGGCGCAGCAGGGAGUUCACCCAGCUGCCCUGCUACGUGGGUCGUCUGAUGGAGUCGGCGAUGGCGGCGACAGUGGCCAAUCCGCGCCUGCAACUCUACUGUUUGAAGGCGUUGCGCGAACUGGGCGUGAUGCCCUGCACCAAGCGCUACAUCGUGGCCAACUGGUUGGCGGACAUUUGCCAGCUGUUCUGCCUGGAUGCGGAGGCCGAGUGCGCCCGGGAUUCGCUGGUCGAUUGGCUGCGUCGCGAUAUAGCCGACAGCAGCUAAAUCGAACUUAAAAGUGUUUAAUUUGCAGCUUACAGUGUUUGGUUUUUAACAAUAGAGCCAUCUGUUGGUGGCCAAGAAACAAGAAACAAGAAACAAGAAACAUAGAACUGCCCCGCUUUCGAACCGCUAAGAUAAAACCAAACCGUUUCGAACUACCCCUGAUGUCCCAAAGAGAAACCGGUUAAAAGAGAGAGCGAACUUACUUGGGUCCUACGGGAGAGCUUAAAUGAGAGCUCUCAGCUGUCAGCUGUCAGCUGUUUGCUUAACACAAAUUGUGUUCGACGCCUGCCUUGACCCUGGCAGACAUACAUACAUAUGUACACACGUAUUUGUUGACAACUUUGCAUAUUUGUGGAGUUGUCAAGAAGGCAGCAGAAACUUUUCCAAUUUCCGAUGCCUGGACAUCAGCGACAAUAAUGAGCAGUGGAGAGGAUGCAAGGAUGCAAGGAUGCAGUGCUGCCAGGACAACAACCGCAGAGACAGCAACAAAACGACGAGAGAGCAACAACCACCGACCAGAGUUGCCACAACAACCACAGUUUGCGGUUUGUGCCAAGCCUUCAGUGCGCUGUUUUUUUUCACAUCUACACAUAUUUUAAUAUCUAUCCCUGCACAUACAAACUGUAUAAAUAAUACCAUUUUUUGCCCCCCUCACUUUUAUGCGGUGACAAACUUGGCAACGAGUUGCAGUUCCCUUUUUAACUUAUUUGGAUUGGCGGCGGCGGGAAGAUUCCGGGUCCGGGUCCGGGUCCGGGUCCGGGUCCGGGUUCGGGUCCGGGUCCGGCAUUGUCCACGGCCCACAUUUCGCAUUCAAUCGGCGAGUUUUGUGCCUUGUCAUCGGCGGGCUUCUUCGUGGUUCGGGUUCGGUAGCAAUUUUCCAAAGUCCCUGGUGCCCGAGUCGCUUUUGUGAACUUUUUAAUUACCGCUGUGAGUUUGCCUUAUUUCGCCUUUUUCGCUUUUUGUAGUCUUUUCCCUCACUUUUUGCUUUUGGGUUUUUCCCACUUUUCAAGUUGUUUAUGAAAUAUUUUAUGGAAAUUAUGCAAAACUUGUUUACCAGACUUCAUAUUCAGCACUCGCCGUUCGCCAUUUGGCGCCUUCAAACAAAGCUCCUCGCUUCUUGCCACUCAAAUUAAUUGCAUAACAAAUUGUGUUGAUGAAGUGCAAGAAUACAAGAAUGCCGGAGUGCAUCUAACUCAAAUUGGCUUGGCCAUGAGACCAUUUCCUGGUCAAUAAUAUGGUUGGUUGCACUGGCCUUCCUCAACGAGUUUUACAGUGCAGCACUCUCAGGAAGUGCUCAUUAAUACAGCAAUUUGGAAAAGUGAAAAUUAAAAACACUUCAAUUGUAUUAAAUGGGAAAUGAAUACAAAAGGGUACGUAAAAAACCAUUAAAACACAAAAUCAUGUAGCAUUAUAAAUAUGUUUUAAGAUUUGAUAUGAACUGUUUGUCCGCUUUCAAUAAUAUAA
Drosophila gunungcola (fruit fly) is the source of this 2966-nucleotide RNA transcript. RefSeq lists it as uncharacterized. Lineage: Eukaryota; Metazoa; Arthropoda; Insecta; Diptera; Drosophilidae. The record is from RefSeq and is a predicted model, not a curated record. The transcript is spliced from 6 exons.